GACAUAUAGACAGAGUCUUUAUCAAUACAAAUAUUUCGUUUAUUCACUAGAAUUAUUUUUAUUGAUAAAGACUCUGUCUGUAUGAUCGUUUUC
This 93-nucleotide microRNA precursor is filed under the name Brugia malayi. Its description in RNAcentral is "microRNA bma-mir-9518 precursor". The record is from miRBase by way of RNAcentral. Lineage: Eukaryota; Metazoa; Nematoda; Chromadorea; Rhabditida; Onchocercidae.